Carica papaya (papaya) is the source of this 774-nucleotide long non-coding RNA. RefSeq lists it as uncharacterized. NCBI's taxonomy places the organism in Eukaryota, Viridiplantae, Streptophyta, Magnoliopsida, Brassicales, Caricaceae. The record is from RefSeq and is a predicted model, not a curated record.
CUUUUUCACCACCAGGGCCAUCCAGCCAGGUCGGUCAAGCAAUCGAAACUACUGAUGACAGCCGGAAUGAAGUAAUGAUCGUAGUUUUCUUCAACUCUGUGAUCUUGAACUCGUUUCAAUCUACACUUGCAUGCUAAUCAGAAAUUAUCAAUGGCUGAUAUAUUAAACCACAAGAGAUAUUGAAUCAAAAUAAUAGGGGCAAUGACAUGGCAACAAGGAGCUCAACUCCAAUGGUAUUUCUUGCAAGAUAUUUCAUUUAAUAAUUAACAAAGCUAUUUGACGAUAACUAUGUAUAUGUUACAGUAGUGAAGAUCUCCAUGAUCGUCAAUAUCGUGUUAAAGCUUCCAUCAACAGUUUUCAAUCAGUUCUUGUCAGUAUAUAAGCCUUAAUGAGUUCUAAUUACAGCGAUGACAUUAUUCGUACCUAUAGCAAUCUGCAUGAUGGAGCUGCUUUACAGAAGUAAAAAAGAAAGAGCAUCAAUGGAGGUUGAUGAGCAAACAUCUUUGCUUGUACUAUUACUCAUCUUCGCGAAAUAUGUGAUUUGGUAGCUUUGCUGAUACUUUUGGACUGAUUGACUGUCUGUCAGUGCUUUGUUACAAAAAUCAAAUUUGCUUUUAUUCAUCAGCAGGCUGAUAAUCCUAUCAAAUUAUCAGGGGCUGCAUCUGCUCUGUCCUUGACAGACAACGAGCCAGGCGCAUGUCUUACUCUAUUAACAAGCAUGGGAUUUGCUUCCGCAGGCCGAGGGAAGCAACAAUCCUCAGCUUUCCACAUCUC